UACAGAGGUCCCAAGCGUUGUUCGGAUUCACUGGGCGUAAAGGGUGCGUAGGUGGUCGGGUAAGUCUGAUGUGAAAUCUCCGAGCUUAACUCGGAAAUGGCAUUGGAUACUAUUUGACUGGAGGGUUGGAGGGGGGACUGGAAUUCUCGGUGUAGCAGUGAAAUGCGUAGAUAUCGAGAGGAACACCAGUGGCGAAGGCGAGUCCCUGGACAACUCCUGACACUGAGGCACGAAAGCUAGGGGAGCAAACAGG
RNAcentral lists this ribosomal RNA (253 nucleotides) under uncultured bacterium. Its description in RNAcentral is "partial 16S ribosomal RNA". It matches the Rfam family "Bacterial small subunit ribosomal RNA", at positions 524 to 776 of the family's 1533-position model. The record is from RNAcentral.